RNAcentral lists this microRNA (22 nucleotides) under Human betaherpesvirus 5. RNAcentral's name for it is "hcmv-miR-US33-5p". The record is from RNAcentral. Lineage: Duplodnaviria; Heunggongvirae; Peploviricota; Herviviricetes; Herpesvirales; Orthoherpesviridae.
GCCACCACCACCCACUGUAGAG